AUAUUUUAGUUAAGUCAAACCCGUCAUUUCCAUAUAGUCAUAUUCGAAUAAUAUUGCCCUUGUGGUUGCACAACAAGGCAAUAUAUUAAAAUAUGCCAUAAGCAUCUUAAUGCACCAAGACAGUAUAACAUCAGUCCCCAUUGCAAAUCUUGUGUUAGCACAACAAACUAGCAUGGAUCUUGACAUAAUAAUAUCGAGGCAUGAAGGAAGGCUAUCAAUAGUGUUAUAUAUCAAUAUUAAGCUUAUCCAUAAUAGGCAAUCAAACAAUUGGCCAGGUAAGCAGGUGGGAGGCUCCCCUUACUCAGAGAGUAAGGUCCUAAUUAAGUAACCACCUUUAGUGCUUUCUGUUGCUGGUGGUCCAAACCGAGAACGAUUGGCACAGCGGUGUGAACGGGGUUCCGUUUGAGUUGCCUUGGUUGGUGUUGAUUGCGCUUCACCUUCCACCGGGAAACCUGCAAGCAAGCCUCGCACCACCACUGGAGUAGUGGGGGCCCUCCGACGAUCAAGUCAGAGGAGAUUGAAGGAGAAGGAGAG
RNAcentral lists this long non-coding RNA (534 nucleotides) under Phoenix dactylifera (date palm). Its description in RNAcentral is "long non-coding RNA (PDAC_LNC020884)". Lineage: Eukaryota; Viridiplantae; Streptophyta; Magnoliopsida; Arecales; Arecaceae. The record is from RNAcentral.